This 22-nucleotide microRNA is filed under the name Ornithorhynchus anatinus (platypus). Its description in RNAcentral is "oan-miR-1421c-5p". The record is from miRBase by way of RNAcentral. Lineage: Eukaryota; Metazoa; Chordata; Mammalia; Monotremata; Ornithorhynchidae.
UAGGUUACAUGCGGUGCAGUAU